GUUGAUUGGACCUGCAGUAUAUGACAUAAGGCCUGUCCGACUGCCCCAGACAGGCUAGGUUUCUGACGGAUGAUCUAAAUUUACAGCUAGCCAGCCCGAUGGUAAGAUCAAAUAGUUUUAGAU
Molecule: long non-coding RNA, 123 nt
Organism: Haliotis rubra (blacklip abalone)
Lineage: Eukaryota; Metazoa; Mollusca; Gastropoda; Lepetellida; Haliotidae
Exons: 3
Source: RefSeq, a predicted model, not a curated record